AGGAAGUAAAAGUCGUAACAAGGUUUCCGUAGGUGAACCUGCGGAAGGAUCAUUACAGUAGUCACCCGGGUUGCCGCAAGGCCUCUCGGGUAACCUACCACCCUUUGUUUAUUACACUUUGUUGCUUUGGCAGGCCUGCCUUCGGGCUGCUGGCUCCGGCCGGCGAGCGCUUGCCAGAGGAUCUAAACUCUGUUUGUCUAUACUGUCUGAGUACUAUAUAAUAGUUAAAACUUUCAACAACGGAUCUCUUGGUUCUGGCAUCGAUGAAGAACGCAGCGAAAUGCGAUAAGUAAUGUGAAUUGCAGAAUUCAGUGAAUCAUCGAAUCUUUGAACGCACAUUGCGCCCCCUGGUAUUCCGGGGGGCAUGCCUGUCCGAGCGUCAUUACAACCCUCAAGCUCUGCUUGGUGUUGGGCCCCGCCGCCCCGGCGGGCCCUAAAGUCAGUGGCGGUGCCAUCCGGCUCCGAGCGUAGUAAUUCUUCUCGCUCUGGAGGUCCGGUUGUGUGCUUGCCAUCAACCCCCAAUUUUUUUCAGGUUGACCUCGGAUCAGGUAGGGAUACCCGCUGAACUUAAGCAUA
This 576-nucleotide ribosomal RNA is filed under the name Geomyces sp. 02NH11. Its description in RNAcentral is "eukaryotic LSU rRNA". The stretch from base 229 to 382 matches the Rfam family "5.8S ribosomal RNA". The record is from RNAcentral. Lineage: Eukaryota; Fungi; Ascomycota; Leotiomycetes; Thelebolales; Pseudeurotiaceae.